ACGCUCGACACCUACGGGGGCAGCAGUGGGGAAUAUUGCACAAUGGGGGAAACCCUGAUGCAGCGACGCCGCGUGAGCGAAGAAGUAUUUCGGUAUGUAAAGCUCUAUCAGCAGGGAAGAAACUGACGGUACCUGACUAAGAAGCACCGGCUAAAUACGUGCCANCNCGCGAGUAUNGNGGCGNGNGAGAG
RNAcentral lists this ribosomal RNA (191 nucleotides) under uncultured bacterium. RNAcentral describes it as "partial 16S ribosomal RNA". It matches the Rfam family "Bacterial small subunit ribosomal RNA", at positions 328 to 540 of the family's 1533-position model. The record is from RNAcentral.